AUGGGGUGGUGGUGCCUUGCAACAAGGCUGGUUCUUGUUGUCCUUCUGGCUCCUAGAGUGUGGCUUCAGUUUAUUCCUACAACAGGUCAGGUAAAGGUAGACUGCCUAGGCAGUCUUGCCAGACUAAAACUGAAUUCAGGCUAUUUCCAGCACAAGUACAUCAGCCUUGCUGCUAUCGACAAGUUUGGCAGGGCUUGGCCAUUAGAUGCUGUUCUGGCUACAAAAUGUGGAUACACCAUCUCUCAGGAUGUCUGGGGAAACGUUGAACUCCGUGCCUCCCUGA
Molecule: long non-coding RNA, 283 nt
Filed under: Pogona vitticeps (central bearded dragon)
Lineage: Eukaryota; Metazoa; Chordata; Lepidosauria; Squamata; Agamidae
Description: lncRNA (ENSPVIG00000000470.1)
Source: RNAcentral